UCCGCGGUAGCUCAGUGGUAGAGCAAUCGGCUGUUAACCGAUUGGUCGUAGGUUCGAAUCCUACCCGCGGAG
Devosia limi DSM 17137 is the source of this 72-nucleotide transfer RNA. It matches the Rfam family "tRNA". From Rfam's summary of the family: Transfer RNA (tRNA) molecules are approximately 80 nucleotides in length. Their secondary structure includes four short double-helical elements and three loops (D, anti-codon, and T loops). The record is from Rfam. Lineage: Bacteria; Pseudomonadati; Pseudomonadota; Alphaproteobacteria; Hyphomicrobiales; Devosiaceae.